UGGUGUGACUUAUUAAUUUGAUACCCCAAUAAUUGUUGCAGUACUGAAUGUCCCCUUUGUUCUUGUACAAGGGCACCACUGUACUCCAUCUCCACUCAUCCGGCAUCCUUUUGGUCCUGAAGAUCGCAUUGAACAACCUGGAUAGCCACUCCCCCCAGACUUACCCAUGCACUUCCAGAACUCCACUGGGAUCUCGUCCGGCCCGGUCGCUCGACCCCUAC
RNAcentral lists this long non-coding RNA (221 nucleotides) under Nicotiana benthamiana. Its description in RNAcentral is "long non-coding RNA (NBEN_LNC022797)". The record is from RNAcentral. Lineage: Eukaryota; Viridiplantae; Streptophyta; Magnoliopsida; Solanales; Solanaceae.